RNAcentral lists this ribosomal RNA (253 nucleotides) under uncultured bacterium. RNAcentral's name for it is "partial 16S ribosomal RNA". It matches the Rfam family "Bacterial small subunit ribosomal RNA", at positions 524 to 776 of the family's 1533-position model. The record is from RNAcentral.
UACGUAGGGUGCAAGCGUUAAUCGGAAUUACUGGGCGUAAAGCGUGCGCAGGCGGUUGUGCAAGACCGAUGUGAAAUCCCCGGGCUUAACCUGGGAAUGGCACUGGUGACUGCACGGCUAGAGUGUGUCAGAGGGGGGUAGAAUUCCACGUGUAGCAGUGAAAUGCGUAGAGAUGUGGAGGAAUACCGAUGGCGAAGGCAGCCCCCUGGGAUAACACUGACGCUCAGGCACGAAAGCGUGGGGAGCAAACAGG